This 230-nucleotide unclassified non-coding RNA is filed under the name fungal sp. Its description in RNAcentral is "partial internal transcribed spacer region". The stretch from base 1 to 47 matches the Rfam family "Eukaryotic small subunit ribosomal RNA", at positions 1785 to 1831 of the family's 1831-position model. The record is from RNAcentral. Lineage: Eukaryota; Fungi.
CAAGUCGUAACAAGGUAUCCGUAGGUGAACCUGCGGAUGGAUCAUUACAGAAGAGAUUAUAUUCUCUACGUUUUGUGAAUGGUUUGGGGGUGUUUGGGUGUGUGGUUUUUAGGGGGAUGACCUCUGGGCCCACACGCUCUCUUGAUUACACGUAUUUUCCCUACUGAAGUCGUCUAUCACAUUGCAGUGAGAAACUGAAACAACUUUUAGCAACGGAUCUCUUGGCUCUC